CUACGAGAAACCUCCAGAGUAUCAUCCACCAGUUGAAAAUCCCCCAUUUUAUAAACCACCGGUAGAGAAACCACCUGUGUAUAAACCACCAAUAGAGCAACCUCCAAUUUAUAAGCCACCUGUAGAAAAUCCUCCAAUUUAUAAACCACCAGUAGAGAAACCACCCGUGUAUAAACCACCGUUUGAGAAACCUCCAAUCUACCAUCCACCAGUAGAGAUACCACCAGUGUACAACCCACCAGUUGAACAUCCUCCAAUUUACAAGCCUCCUGUAUACAAACCACCAGUAGAGCAACCUCCCGUCUAUAAGCCACCAGUAGAGAAGCCUCCAAUUUACAAGCCACCAGUAGAGAAACCUCCUGUUUACCAACCUCCUGUUUACAAGCCCCCAGUUGAGAAACCUCCAGUGUACAAGCCACCUGUAGAAAAGCCACCAGUGUACAAGCCACCUGUAGAAAAGCCACCAGUGUACAAGCCACCUGUAGAAAAGCCUCCUAUAUACAAACCACCAGUAGAGAAACCACCAGUGUACAAACCACCCGUUGAGAAACCCCCGGUUUAUAAGCCACCAGUAGAGAAACCACCUGUGUACAAGCCACCAGUUGAGAAGCCCCCAAUUUACAAGCCACCAGUAGAGAAACCACCUGUAUACAAGCCACCAGUUGAGAAGCCUCCAGCUUACAAGCCACCAGUUGAGAAGCCACCUGUAGAGAAACCACCAGUGUACAAGCCACCGGUUGAGAAGCCCCCAAUUUACAAACCACCAGUUGAGAAGCCUCCAGUGUACAAGCCACCGGUUGAGAAACCACCUGUCUACAAGCCACCUGUAGAAAAUCCACCUGUUUACAAGCCACCAUUUGAGAAACCUCCAAUUUAUAAACCGCCAAUAGAGUAUCCACCCGUGUACAAGCCCCCUUUUGAGAAACCCCCCAUCUACAAGCCACCUGUAGAGAAACCUCCUUUUUACAAGCCUCCGUUUGAGAAUCCACCAUUUUAUAUACCUCCAGUUGAGGAGCCUCCUGUUUACAAGCCUCCAUUCGAGAAGCCACCAAUUUACACUCCUCCAUUCUAGAGCCCACCUUACCACCCAAAGUUCCCUCGGGCAGGCGAUGGUACUCGUUAAUAGAACAUGCUAUGAAGAAAAUAUGUUAAAUAAGAGAUAUAUAGAGUUUUUUAUUUAAUCAAGGAAUAUAUAUAUUCAUGUAAUCUUCAUUUCAAUACUUUGUUUACAAUACUCUUGCUAUGAUAAGAAUAUGAGUGAAAAACAGAGAAAGAAAAUAGUGUGCUUUUCUAUUCGAAAUUAUGAAUAAGAUUUCUAUGAUUUAGAUGUUGUGUUGGUUGACUAAAUCGUGAUACAUCGACAGAGGCAGAGCCCCUCAUGCGCCAAGGUGGGUCAUGGCCCACCCCCAAAUUUUGUUUCUUAUUAUAUAUAUAUUAUGUUUUGUAAAUUUUUGAUGUUUUUGUAGCAUGUUGUAGUGGUUAAGAGCCUUUUUGCCAAGUCGUAUGUGCUAGGUUCAACUCUUGCCAAAACCAUUUUUAUUUAUUCUUUUAUUUUCUUUUGUAUAAAAAAAAAACAUAAUUCAUAAUUGUUAAAAUAAUCCUUUUUUUUGUUACUUAAUCCUUUCUUUCUUUAAUAAAACAUAACUCCUUUAUUCGAUUUAAAAUAAUCUUUCCUUUCCUUACUCUUAUUUUUGGAUACAAUUGUCUCUUUACUCUUUUAUUUUAAUUUUUUUUUUAUACAAAGGGGACUUCAACUCUUUUUUGUCAAAAAACAUUCUCUUUUAAAACAUAUAACAUAUUUUUUAUACUUAGUCGUUUGAUUCAAUUCGAUUUUAUACCUAUACAUCUGUUUAUUGAAGUCGAGUCAUUUAAUUCAGUCGUUAGGUUCAAUGGCCUAGUUGUUCGAUCAAUUAUCUUGAACUUUAUCAAGGUUGAUAAACAGUUCAUAUUUUAAAAUACCGGUUUAAAUUAUAUUCAACAAAUAACAAAUUUAUAGUCAUUGGAACCAACCAAUAAUAAAAUGUACUUGUAAGAAAAUAAAGCCUCAUCACUAUUUAUGGCCCACCCUAUACUUUUUUCCUAGCUCCGCCACUUUACAUCUUCGUAUUCUUUAGGAAGUUUCAACCUUGUUGACUAUGACAACAGUGACGACUAUAACGAGACUCGCUAUUGACUAUGACAACAGUGACGACUAUAACGAGACUCCCUACUUUUUGGUUUGCUUCAACAGGUUCUCAACAUAAAUAACUAACCAAGUUAAUUUGCCUGUGAAAUGUGAUAUUAGUAAGGUGCAUGAAGGUUAAGUUCUUUAGCAAAGCUUAGUAUCUUGAAUUAAAGAAUAUCGUUAAUUAAACUAAAUAUUCAUAUUAGGUAUCACAAUUUUCAAGACUUUAUAUGUACGUGUUGAUCCAUUAAUUAAGAGAAAUUAGACUUUAGACCCGUGCGUCGCACGGGUCAUUUCGACUAAUAUAUAAUAAUAAGUAAUGGUAAAAAAAAUUCUAAAAUAAAUAAAAGAUGAAGAGUAUUAUACAUUUUACUUACUCAAGUUCAAAAAAUAAAGUAGGAGAUGACAUGAAAUCGUUUAGUUGAAACAAACGAAUAUUAAAAAAUAAAAAUUAGACAACGACAGGGAUCUAAAAUUCUAUUUCUAAUCCUUCACAUAUCAAAAUUACAAUUGGUUCUCUUCAUUGUAAUCAUCUAAACUUAAUUAAAAAAUUUACAAGUGCAAAUAGAAUCGACAUUAUACAAGUCACUACUUGAUUCCAAAAACCUAUGUUUCAUGAAAACCACUCAUACCUAAAUAACAAUAAUAAACCUUCAAAACAAAAAUCAACUAUUCUCAAAGGACCCAAAAGAAAGAUUUUUAGCCUUCUAAAUCACAAUUUCUCUUGUUGUAUUGUUUUUGUGUCAAAAGCACCAUAAGUUGAAUAGUAGGCUCAGACACAUGACUUUCCUCAUAAGACAAAAUCACCAGUUUUUUAUAGGUUGAAAAAAUAAAUCAAAUAUCCUUAACUUUCAAUAACGCUUAGAAACAACUGAAACUUUUGCAUUAUCUCAAUCCACAAACAAAAUUGAAGACCUUUAUAUUUGCUUUAGGCACCUUAAGGAAUUCUAUGUAAAUUGUUUUCCUGCAAUGAAAUGCUAAACACAAUGAGCAAAGAAGAAGAAUUAACAACAAUAUUUGGAUUGUUUUAUUUAGCUUACAAUUCUUUAAACUAAUCAANAACACAAUGAGCAAAGAAGAAGAAUUAACAACAAUAUUUGGAUUGUUUUAUUUAGCUUACAAUUCUUUAAACUAAUCAACAAAAAAUUAAAUUUGCAUUAUAUCCUCCACAAUAUCAAGAAUUUUUCAAAGGGAUCAUUCUAUUUGUAUGGCUAUGAUGAGAACUCAUGUGUGUCCAUGAAGACCAGCUCUACGGAUAACCAUGUUCAUAUUAACUAUUUUAGGAGUGAAAAUAGGAUUGGAUUGGAUUUAGUAGUGAGCUGUUGUUUUUGAUUUCAGAAGCAUUUGAAAAUAACAUUUUGAUUAAAUGGAAAUAAUAGGAAGAAUUUGUUAAUAAAAGUGAUUUUUUUUUUUUUUUUUAUGUUGAUCUUUUUAUUGUUGUGUUAGAAACAAAAUAGGACGAAAUUGUAUUUUUUUUUUUAUGUUUAUCUUUUUAUUGUUGUGUUGGAAACAAAAUAGGAGGAAAUUGUUAUAGGAAUAGGAGGAACGAUUUUUAAAGUUUAUCUCUUAAUUAAACAGGUUUAAUUGAACACGGGGGUAAUAACGUAAAAGUCAUCAUAAAAUCUAGGUUAAAAUUAGGUUAAAAAUUGGCUUACGGGUUAACUUUUAUAUAUAAAGAAGUCAAGAGAAUCUAGAUCUGUGAAGCCCCGAUACUUCAAAAUGGAUGAUGUAUCGUAUCCGCUGCGUAUUCUGUAUCGAUACCUGCCCGAUACUUCUCAAAUUUAUGAGUUUUAUUUGAUUCUUCGAAUUCGAAUUUUGAGAAUUUUAGGGUUUGAAGGUUGGUGAUGGAGGUGAAUCUGAGUUUAUAUUAAGAAUUGAUGAAGAAUUUAAGGAGAGUGCAGUGAUGGAUAGGUAACUGAGUAUGAAUUGGUAUGCAGUUUGGAAAAACAAAACAAGAGGCAGUAGCAGCACCCCCACCCUUCCUCUACUUCUUCGACAAUAUGAGUGUUAGAUUCAUUUUCCUAGGUGUGAUUUUGAGGCAGAUGAAUAUGUGUGAGAGAUUGUAGAGGAAGAUCUCAGAUAUAGCUUUUAGGGAUGAACAUGAAUGAAUGAAUUUGUAGAUGAAGAUGAAUGUUGUUUGAACAUUUAAUUAAGAAAUUUUUAAUUGUUUUUUGUUUUAAUAUUUGAAAUUAUUAAAUUGUAUUUUGAAAUUCAAAAAACCUGUUUUAAUGACAUGUAAAUGACAUUUUCCAAAUUGGCAAUGCCACAUAGGCAAAAUUUUACCACCUGUGCAUUUUUGGAUGUGAAAAUAGGGGGUAAGACUAAAACUGCAACAAAAAUGAUAAUUGAAAAACAAUUUUAAUCUGUUUUAAAAGGGCAGGACCAAUUUCCUGAGUAGGCCACAACACGAGGACCAAAAGUGUAAUUAAGCCUUAUAUUUAUGUUGAUGUGCUACAAGCUUAUGACUGGUUUCUUUUGUUUGAUAAUAUAUUUGCAUAUUAAAUAAAAUGGUUAUAAUUAUAUUCUACAUUUAAUUAUAUAAUUUUUUUAUUGACGUAUCCCAACCAUAUCGUAUCUUGAUUUUUGAAAUUUUUUCGUAUUGACGUAUCGGUGCAGUAUCGUAUCUCGUAUUCGGGCUUCAUAGAUCUAGACUAUUAAUUUUUUUGAUAAACAAGAUUAUUAUUAUUUUUUGACAAAAACAAAGUGAGAUUCAUUCAUUCAAAUUGAUAGAGUACAUCAGAUACAAACAUUGCUAAAAACGUAAAGGAUAAAUCUAUGAACAAACUCACAACACUAAAGUUCAUACAACAGCAAAAUGUCUACAAAUAAUAUGAUAAAAUCUAAGUCACCAAAAUAUUCAUGCUUCCGGGUAUGCAACGUUGGCGCCCAAAUCAUUGAUUGAAUUUGUAAUUGACUAAUGUCGAUCUUUCAACAUGAACUAAACGAACACCGCGUCAAGACGCGAAAUCAAACAUCACAUAAGACCACUAACAACACAAUGCCACAAUUAGAUGACGAAAUCACAAAAACUCAAAAGGGAAAACUUGAUAUAUGUGAAAACCAUUUGUUUAGAUCGAAAGAAAAGAGAAAAAACGAUGUAGAGGGGUGAUUUUAGGUCAAAAAUGACCUAAAACCAGUUCUUUUUAAUAAACGAAGGAGAAAGAAUGUUUAGAGAGAAGUUGGAGUUUUUUUUUACUUAAAAAAUUAGGAUAAGCAAAAUUAUUAUAGAGGGAUAAAGGGCUCCCCAACCCAUAUACAAAAUGAUGGUUGCAAUGCCAUGUAGAAAAUAAAAAGAUAACAUUGCCUUUCUUUUUACAAUUAAACUAGUUACAAACCCGUGCGUUGCACGGGUUUAAUAACGUAUUUUAUAAAAAAAAAAUCUUUUAAAAGAAAAAUGAGCAAAUUAAUGAAUAUUGCACAAACAUUAUAAAUCUUUAUCAAAAUAUUUAUGAAAGCUUUAUCAAGUCUUUAAUACACAUUAAUAUUUGUGAUGAUUGAUAAAAGAAUUAAAAAGAGUAAAGGGUAUAGAAAUAAAUUUAUUAAAGAAUUAACAAUUUGUUUAAACUUAUUUUUGUUACAAUUUAGACCAAAAAAAAUAUUGGACUUCAUUGAGUUUCUCUAUAAUUUUUUUAUCAGGCUUGAAGUUAUGACUCUGAGUUUGAAAACCGCAAAAUUCACAAAAAUUAUUGAAGAAACACUAUAAACAAAUAAACGGCAUCGUCAAAAAUGAAAUCAUAUUUGGCUAUAGUGAUCAAGCAAACAAAAAAAAAGAAGCAUAUUAAAUACCUAUAAUCAAUGGAUUCUAAUUGCAUAGAGGCGACACUUAUACUUUCUCUAUGUUUGUUCAUCAAUGAGAGUGAUUAUUUUGCGCUUUCCUUUCAGAAUUGUUCUUGACACCUAGUUUGGGAAAUGCUAAACAGGGAAAUAACUGUAAUAUUAAUCUAAUGCAUAUUAACAUGGAUAAGAUGUAUGCGAAUAUAGUUAUAUAUAACUUAUGAAAUGAAGGUAACAUAACUGAUUUUAAGCUAAAGAAAAUGUACCAUGACUUCUAAUUUAUCUUUCUAUUAUCUUCCUAUAAAGUCUAGAGAAAUGCAUGCAUGUGCAUUAUAUGUACCCCGUUGACCAAUUAACAUUUUUGAAACAAAUGAAAAUUAAGCAUCACUCCCGCAUGUGCAUCUAUAGCUAACACCAUUUGACAUUGAUGUCUUCGAACAUUUGGUGCAACUCUCAUAAUACCAUCCAAACUGGUUAGGAUUGAAUUUAGUUGUUUUUCCAAAUAGUGAUGGAGUAUGUAUCCUAACACAAAUUAUGCACGUGAAAUAAAGAAUAGUGCAAUAUGCAUUUUUAAUUUGUGCGUAAAAAAAUUCAAAGCAUGUUUGUGAAAAAAAAAAAAAAAAACAGACCUUGACUAAGUUUAUAGAUUCAUCAAUUGGCCUAACUUGAGACAGAUUGGAAAAAUCGUUCUACGAAGUACUUUUUAAACUUUACUUUUUAAUCUAUCUGAGCUUGAGAAGUGUUAAGUUCACGACAACAAUUCAAGAAACAUGGUCAAUAAACAAUCAAAUCAGAUUGUGAAAUAAUAAGUUACUCUAACACUGUAUUGUGAAAUCAUAAUGCAAACUUACUAAGUCUUAAACUUUUCAACAACCGGAUGAUGUAGGUUGAUGAGCAGCCUCGAACCUGACCAAUUGUUACAUCUAUUUGCGUUGUCAUUGACUACAAAAUAGAAGCAAAGAAUUCAAGGUAAAUAAAUGGUAAAUGAUAAAGCUACAAAGUAUUUUACCCAUAAUGUUACAUCAACUAUAUUCCCAAUGCUCUAAAUCUCUAUAUCGAGUUAUUACAUGAACUCGAUCACCCUAAAUCCGAGAAAGAAACCAAAAAAUAUAAAUAAAUCAAAAUGUAUACUAAUAAGUAACAUUGAUAAAUCAUAAAAGAAAUUACUACAAAUCUUAACUAACUUAUCUAACCUUUGCAUCACAAAUAAUGAGCUUCAUAUGUUGAUUCUCAUUACUACCAGUCACAAUUCAAGAAUCCAGUACUCCAAAUCCUAUUUUCCAAACGUCUAAAUCAUUUUUGAGAUACUUAAUGUAGUCAUAAUCCCUUGACAUUGAAAUUCAUAUAUAGAAAUACAAUAAUACAUCAUUUAAUUUUAUUCCCUUUGUUCAUUCUGAUAUCGAAAGAAGCUAACAUAUUUCUAUGUGAUCAAUUUUUGUAUCAUCAAAUUAACCUGAUCUUAAAUGUACAAAUUUCUAUCAUCAACUUUCUGGACCCCAAUGAUAUGAUCAAAACAAAUUUACACCAAUCAACUUUUUGCACGGCUCAAUGAUAUACGAAAGAAUAAAUAAAAUAUGAAAACUGUUACAGCUUUAGGAUUACUCACAAAAACUAAAAUAAUUGAAAUGCAUCAAUUAUUUUCAACUCCUGUACCAGAAGCUAAAAUAACAAUUGUGUCAAAACCUUACCAUCAGUUAAAAUUCAGUCAUCAUGACCUCUACUAUACUCCACAUAACAAAAGACGAUUUUUCUACAGCCAUGCAACAUAACAAAUUUUGGUACAUAAUCCAAUAACAAUUGGAAAAAAAAAAAAAAAACCCUUAAAAUGCAUAAUCAUGAAAAAAGGAAGAAAACCAUCUAUGAUGAAGCAAAAACUAAAACGGUGUCGAAAAAUGAAGCCCUUAAGCCAUAAAAAUCAGUCAACUCAAGUCAUGCAUGGUCUCAGAACCAUGAAAAAAGAUAGAAAAUGACCUUUUUUUUUUUUGUGGUGGCCGGGGUUUGAACUCCGGACCUUGCAUAUUUUAUGCAUUGUCCUACCAACUAAGCUAAGCUCACGAGGACGAAGAAAAUGACCUCUUAUGAAGAAGAAAGUGAAACAGUGUUCCCGACUGAACUUAGAUACCGUUUGGUCAAGGUUUUUUACAUUAUAAAAGUUACUUCAAAACAAAGUAAAAAUAAAGGCCUUUAUGAAAGAAACUAAAGUUAUUUGGUUUUUUUGUUUUGUUAGUUUUAAAGCUAUUUAAGUUUAAUGUUGUUUGGCAAAAUAUUGUACAAACUUUGAAUUUAUUAUUUUUUAUAUGGUGUCUGGGGUUCGAACUCCGGACUUGGCAUGUAUUUAUGCAUUGUUCCUAUCAACUGAGCUAAACUCAUGAGGACAAAACUUUGAAUUUAUUAUUAAUUAACAUAAUAAAUAAAUAAAAUGUUUAGAAUAAUUUAUGAAGGCUAAAAAUGUUAAAAAAAUAAAAGAUAUUUUUUUUACAAAUACGAUAUUUACUCAAUAACGUUUAUUUUGUGUAACAUGAAUACAAAUUAAUAUCAUCAUAUAAAUAACUUGUUAAAUAUUUGAAUAGGAGAAACAAUUUAAGGAGUCUGGAAUAAUAAUAUAAAUAAUAUCAAAAUAUUUGAUUUUUUCUAUUUCAAUUAUACUCUAUAACAAAUUUCGUUAUAAGAAUACCAUAUUUUUUGUGUCUUUCAAAAAGAUAAGAAUUUAUAUUAUAUGAUAUUAUAUUUGUUACAUUGUUGGUGUCAUGGAAACAGAUAUGUUUAAUUUUUUUGAACAUGAAAAUGAUAUGCAUAGUUUGUUACGAUAUAAAGGUGCAAUAUAUAUAUAUAUAUACACCUUUUUAGGCAUCUAUACCUUUUUUUGAAGAAAAGACAUCUACAAUUUUACUUUUAAUUAAAAUUUAAAUUUUAUAAAAAUAAUCAUACGCAUUAUGCAACGCUAAAAAAAAUUAUACACAUUAGCGUAACAAAAAAACAGACACACAUAAAGAAUUACUCUAAACGCUAAUGUGUAUGUGCGUAUAUAUUUGCGAGGUUGAAGAAAGAAAAUACAAAUAUUUGAUAUCAUUAAAUGACAGCGUGAAUAAAAAUAUUUGUGAAGUUGUGAUGAUUAAACGAUAUUGAAAUUAUAAGUGAUAAAAAGAUAAUAAAAUUCCUUUGAAAAAAAGGUAAUAAAAUUAAAUGGAACCUCCUUAAAAAAAAUUAAAUUGAACGCUUCAAAUUAAAUGGAAGAAAAAAAUAUAUUGAAGUAUAAUAUUAAAAAAUAAAAAAAAAGGUUCCCAACGUGAAUUGAAGAGAGAUGCUUGUGAAAUAAAUUGUCGAGAAGUAGUUUUUUGAAGAAGCAUUCAACAACUUUUGGUCAAAGUUCAUUGCAUUCAAUUUUAUGCAUUAAAAAAGGUACAUUUUUUAGAAAGUACUUAAUUGAUAUUGUAUUUGACCUAACUUCUCCUUAAAAAUAUAGGGAAGUUGAAAAAAAAAACCGGGUCAAACGGUAUCUUAAUUUCCCACAACGGCAGUGUAGAAACAACUGAAUUUGGGAGAAAAAAAUUGGAAAAUAGUUAAAAAUAAAAAAAAUUGAAAAAUAGUUAAAAAAAAUCGGUGAGGUAGCACCUAACCAAACAACACUAAAAAAAAUUAUAUGCAUCAGCGUAACAAAAAAACAGACAGACGGACAUAAAAUAUUACUCUAAACGUUAAUGUGUGUGUAUAUAUUCGCGAGGUUGAAGAAAGGAAAUAAAAAUAUUUGGUAUCAUUAAAUGACAGCGUGAAUAAAAAUAUUUGUGAGGUUGUGAUGAUUAAACAAUAUUGAAAUUAAAAUAAUUAAUAUUGUGUUUGACCCAACUUCUCCUUAAAAAUUUAGAGAAGUUGGAAAAAAGUCGGGUCAAGCGAUACCUUAAUCUCCCACAACGGUAAUGUAGAAGCCACUGAAUUUGGGAGAAAAAAUUGGAAAAUAGUUAAAACUAAAAAAUAAAAAAAUCGGUGAGGUAGCACCCAACCAAGCAACACCAAAAAAAAAUUAUAUGCAUUAUCGUAACAAAAAAAUAGACAAACAGACAUAUAAUAUUACUCGAAACAUUAAUGUGUGUGUAUAUUCGCGAGGUUGAAGAAAGGAAAUAAAAAUAUUUGAUAUCAUUAAAUGACAACGUGAAUAAAUAUAUCUGUGAGGUUGUGAUGAUUAAAUAAUAUUUAAAUUAAAAUAAUUGAUAUUGUGUUUGACCUAACUUCUCCUUAAAAAUGUAGAGAAUUUGGAAAAAAGCCGGGUCAAACGAUACCUUAGUCUCCCACAACGGCAAUGUAGAAGCAACUGAAUUUGGGAGAAAAAAUUGAAAAAUAGUUAAAAACAUAAAAAUUGGAAAAUAGUUAAAAGUUAUUAAAAAUUAGAAAAUAAUUUAAAAAAUUGGUGAGGGGCAAAAUGGGAAAUUUGGCAUAAAAAAGAUGAGGUGGCACCAAACCAAACCCACCAAUUAGAAAAUUACUUAAAUGCCCAUUCCAGGGACAAAAUGGGAAUUUCAUAUGGCAUCAAUUUUAAUAGAGUAUAUAGACCACUCACAUUACACAAAUGUUGAAAUAUAUGAUGCAUAUUACUUUUUAAAUUUUUGGUUUAUAGUUGCAUUUUUUUUAGGGUUAAUAGUGUUUUUCACCCUUGUAAUAUAUGUCAUUUUCGGUUUUCGACCCUAUAAAAUUUUUAGUUUUAUUUUAACCCUCGUAAAAUUUUUAUUUUCCGGAAAAGACCCUUAAUAGGCCAUUCAAAAACCAAAAUUUCUUGAAAAAAAUUCUGAAAAUGGCCUAUUAGGGGUCUUUUCCGGAAAAUAAAAAUUAUACGAGGGACCACCUGUUGAGAAACCACCUGUACACAAGCCACCAGUUGAGAAGCUACCUGUUUACAAGCCACCUGUAGAGAAACCUCCGGUGUACAAGCCACCUGUUGAGAAGCCCCCAGUUUACAAACCUCCAGUAGAGAAGCCUCUAGUGCACAAGCCACCAGUUGAUAAACCACCUGUACACAAGCCACCAGUUGAGAAGCUACCUGUUUACAAGCCACCUGUAGAGAAACCUCCGGUGUACAAGCCACCAGUUGAGAAGCCCCCAGUUCACAAACCUCCAGUAGAGAAGCCUCCAGUUCACAAACCUCAAGUGGAGAAGCCACCUGUAUACAAGCCACCAGUUGAGAAGUUUCCAAUUUACAAACCUCUAGUAGAGAAGCCUCCAGUGCACAAGCCACGAGUUGAGAAACCACCUGUACACAAGCCACCAGUUGAGAAGCUACCUUUUUACAAGCCACCUGCAAAGAAACCUCCGGUGUACAAGCCACCAGUUGAGAAGUCCCCAGUUUACAAACCUCCGUUAGAGAAGCCUCCAGUGCACAAGCCACCGGUUGAGAAACCACCUGUAUACAAGCCACCAAUUGAGAAGCCCCCAGUUCACAAGC
RNAcentral lists this long non-coding RNA (11369 nucleotides) under Medicago truncatula (barrel medic). RNAcentral describes it as "long non-coding RNA (MTRU_LNC001595)". The record is from RNAcentral. Lineage: Eukaryota; Viridiplantae; Streptophyta; Magnoliopsida; Fabales; Fabaceae.